GGGGAAUUGAAGGCUUCAGAGCAAAUGCAAUUGUUUGACAGAACUUAUUGUCGAAAUUGGCAAAGACAUUGCUGCUAUAAACCUAGGAUAUAAAUUUUCAAAAUUCUUAAAGAAUUGAACUUAUGAGGAAUUGUCUAUAAAGGGCAAUAACACCUAAAGGGGUUAAUUGACCAUUUUGGUCAUGCUGAAUUAUUUGUAGAUCUUACUUUACUGUUAACAGUUUA
RNAcentral lists this long non-coding RNA (224 nucleotides) under Mytilus galloprovincialis (Mediterranean mussel). The record is from RNAcentral. Lineage: Eukaryota; Metazoa; Mollusca; Bivalvia; Mytilida; Mytilidae.